AUACAGAGGGUGCAAGCGUUAAUCGGAUUUACUGGGCGUAAAGCGCGCGUAGGUGGCCAAUUAAGUCAAAUGUGAAAUCCCCGAGCUUAACUUGGGAAUUGCAUUCGAUACUGGUUGGCUAGAGUAUGGGAGAGGAUGGUAGAAUUCCAGGUGUAGCGGUGAAAUGCGUAGAGAUCUGGAGGAAUACCGAUGGCGAAGGCAGCCAUCUGGCCUAAUACUGACACUGAGGUGCGAAAGCAUGGGGAGCAAACAGGAUUAGAUACCCUGGUAGUCCAUGCCGUAAACGAUGUCUACUAGCCGUUGGGGCCUUUGAGGCUUUAGUGGCGCAGCUAACGCGAUAAGUAGACCGCCUGGGGAGUACGGUCGCAAGACUAAA
RNAcentral lists this ribosomal RNA (376 nucleotides) under uncultured bacterium. RNAcentral's name for it is "bacterial SSU rRNA". It matches the Rfam family "Bacterial small subunit ribosomal RNA", at positions 523 to 898 of the family's 1533-position model. The record is from RNAcentral.